RNAcentral lists this ribosomal RNA (253 nucleotides) under uncultured bacterium. Its description in RNAcentral is "partial 16S ribosomal RNA". It matches the Rfam family "Bacterial small subunit ribosomal RNA", at positions 524 to 776 of the family's 1533-position model. The record is from RNAcentral.
UACGGGGGGGGCAAGCGUUGUUCGGAAUCACUGGGCGUAAAGGGCGUGUAGGCGGUCCGCUAAGUCCGAUGUGAAAGCCCGGGGCUCACCCCCGGAAGUGCAUUGGAAACUGGCGGACUCGAGUCCCGGAGAGGAGAGUGGAAUUCCUGGUGUAGCGGUGAAAUGCGCAGAUAUCAGGAGGAACACCAAUGGCGAAGGCAGCUCGCUGGAACGGUACUGACGCUGAGGCGCGAAAGCGUGGGGAGCGAACAGG